UGCCAGCCUCCGCUGUACUCCUGAUUGGGUUAUCGUUGUUCGGAAUUACUGGGCGUAAAGCGCACGUAGGCGGACUGGAAAGUUGGGGGUGAAAUCCCAGGGCGCAACCCUGGAACUGCCUCCAAAACUAUCAGUCUAGAGUUCGAGAGAGGUGAGUGGAAUUCCAAGUGUAGAGGUGAAAUUCGUAGAUAUUUGGAGGAACACCAGUGGCGAAGGCGGCUCACUGGCUCGAUACUGACGCUGAGGUGCGAAAGUGUGGGGAGCAAACAGGAUUAGAUA
This 279-nucleotide ribosomal RNA is filed under the name uncultured bacterium. RNAcentral's name for it is "partial 16S ribosomal RNA". It matches the Rfam family "Bacterial small subunit ribosomal RNA", at positions 506 to 784 of the family's 1533-position model. The record is from RNAcentral.